AUAUAAAUUAUAAAUUUUCAAUAUAAUAUGUAUGAAAUUGAAUAUAAAUAUUUCAAAUUAUGACCCGUUACUCAGUAGAAAGUUUUCUUAAAUCUAUUUUUCACCGUUAUAAUAUUUUUUUAUGUAUUGAAUAGUUUAUAUUUGUUUUUAAAAAUUCAAAUUAUGGCAUAUGCCAAAAAACUCUAAUUUUUUUUUAUAAUGAUGAUAUUAUUUUUCCGCAAAAAUAGAAUCAUAUAAAGAUGAGAAGUGAACUAUAAUAAUUAAUAAAAAAUUAAUA
This 277-nucleotide small RNA is filed under the name Arabidopsis thaliana (thale cress). RNAcentral's name for it is "ATSL243380". Lineage: Eukaryota; Viridiplantae; Streptophyta; Magnoliopsida; Brassicales; Brassicaceae. The record is from RNAcentral.